Molecule: long non-coding RNA, 255 nt
Filed under: Pongo abelii (Sumatran orangutan)
Lineage: Eukaryota; Metazoa; Chordata; Mammalia; Primates; Hominidae
Description: lincRNA
Source: RNAcentral
AGUAACACUCUGGGAGGGCUCAGGCCACAUCACCAAAUGUGCCAGGAUAGCCUUGAACUCAUCAAUUGCUGGGGGCACCUCAAACUCAACUCCAAAAUUGAUCUAAUGAAUUUUCCCAAACCACAUUCCCUUCUUGCAUUUCUAAGAGAAUGGAUUCCCAUUCAUCUGACUACAGUGCUAUCCUGAAAGGAGAUCCGGAGACUAAGAUUCACCUGAGAUCCGGAGACUAAGAUUCACCUGCAGGUGAUUCAUUUG